UGGGGAAUAUUGCACAAUGGGGGAAACCCUGAUGCAGCCAUGCCGCGUGUGUGAAGAAGGCCUUCGGGUUGUAAAGCACUUUCAGCGAGGAGGAAAGGUGGCUAGCUAAUACCUAGUUGCUGUGACGUUACUCGCAGAAGAAGCACCGGCUAACUCCGUGCCAGCAGCCGCGGUAAUACGGAGGGUGCAAGCGUUAAUCGGAAUUACUGGGCGUAAAGCGCACGCAGGCGGUUAGAUAAGUCAGAUGUGAAAGCCCCGGGCUCAACCGGGGAACUGCAUUUGAAACUGUGUAACUAGAGUCUUGUAGAGGGGGGUAGAAUUCCAGGUGUAGCGGUGAAAUGCGUAGAGAUCUGGAGGAAUACCGGUGGCGAAGGCGGCCCCCUGGACAAAGACUGACGCUCAGGUGCGAAAGCGUGGGGAGCAAACA
This 427-nucleotide ribosomal RNA is filed under the name uncultured prokaryote. Its description in RNAcentral is "bacterial SSU rRNA". It matches the Rfam family "Bacterial small subunit ribosomal RNA", at positions 355 to 774 of the family's 1533-position model. The record is from RNAcentral.